This 212-nucleotide ribosomal RNA is filed under the name Salmonella enterica subsp. enterica serovar Uganda. RNAcentral describes it as "partial 16S ribosomal RNA". It matches the Rfam family "Bacterial small subunit ribosomal RNA", at positions 1 to 214 of the family's 1533-position model. The record is from RNAcentral. Lineage: Bacteria; Pseudomonadati; Pseudomonadota; Gammaproteobacteria; Enterobacterales; Enterobacteriaceae.
AAAUUGAAGAGUUUGAUCAUGGCUCAGAUUGAACGCUGGCGGCAGGCCUAACACAUGCAAGUCGAACGGUAGCACAGAGAGCUUGCUCUCGGGUGACGAGUGGCGGACGGGUGAGUAAUGUCUGGGAAACUGCCUGAUGGAGGGGGAUAACUACUGGAAACGGUGGCUAAUACCGCAUAAUGUCGCAAGACCAAAGAGGGGGACCUUCGGGC